UAGGGAAUCUUCCGCAAUGGACGAAAGUCUGACGGAGUAACGCCGCGUGAGUGAAGAAGGAUUUCGGUUCGUAAAACUCUGUUGUUAGGGAAGAAAAAAUGUAUAGUAACUAUAUACAAAAGAGACGGUACCUAACCAGAAAGCCACGGCUAACUACGUGCCAGCAGCCGCGGUAAUACGUAGGUCCCGAGCGUUGUCCGGAUUUAUUGGGCGUAAAGCGAGCGCAGGCGGUUAGAAAAGUCUGAAGUGAAAGGCAGUGGCUCAACCAUUGUAGGCUUUGGAAACUGUUUAACUUGAGUGCAGAAGGGGAGAGUGGAAUUCCAUGUGUAGCGGUGAAAUGCGUAGAUAUAUGGAGGAACACCGGUGGCGAAAACGGCUCUCUGGUCUGUAACUGACGCUGAGGCUCGAAAGCGUGGGGAGCGAACAG
RNAcentral lists this ribosomal RNA (427 nucleotides) under Verrucomicrobiota bacterium. Its description in RNAcentral is "Verrucomicrobia bacterium partial 16S ribosomal RNA". It matches the Rfam family "Bacterial small subunit ribosomal RNA", at positions 355 to 775 of the family's 1533-position model. Lineage: Bacteria; Pseudomonadati; Verrucomicrobiota. The record is from RNAcentral.